UCACGUGGAGGAAGGAGAGCUCAGGUGGGGAAAGGGGGUGCUCCGCGUUUUCUUGUCCUUCUGCAGUGUUUCAAGCCCAGGUGGAAGUGUGUCCUGCUUGUUUGUGGGCAGAGCUGUCCCCACACAUGUGCUCGCGCACGUGCGGCUCGUGGCUACAGUCACUGUAGUAAAGCACAGGUGGAAGAGGAAGGAGUUGAGCUGAGGCUGCCCGUGAGUAUGGAGGGGGUGAUCCCUGAGACCCUGAGACGGUGUAGACGGGACCCCUCGGGAGCUCACCCACCCCACAGCUCCUCCUUUGGUUUCAUCUCCUGUGAGUCUGACCACAGUCUGUCUGUCCUGCCCCAGGCAGUGACAGUCCCCAGGGCUCUCUCUGCUCCUAUAGGUGUGUCGGGGAGCGUCAGGGAGCGGGGCGCAGUUGGGACGGCGCACAAGUCAGGACGCUUGCUCCCUGCAGCCCUUCCUCUGAGCUGAGGCUGCGGUCCCGCGCCGCUCGACCUGAGACGACAGGGGCUCCUCUGGGGAGAGAGUCUCUAGCAUCUGUCAGCUUUUACGUGACCGUGGCACGCAUGAAAAACCAACAGUGAAGGAGCCCAGAGCACCGGCCUAGUAGCUGGAGUGUCCCACAAAGUCGGGACUGUUCACGCACAACAGGCCAACCGGGAACAUGGAAGGACCGUGAACAGCUGGUCGCAGACAGACAGACGUGAUAGCCAUGCUUCCGCUCUGCUUAUCCUUUACUCCUGGACGAGAUGAGGCCACGCCAUGGUCUUUGACCACAGAUCCUUUGUAGCGAUAGGACCGGAACUGCAGAGAUGCUGCCACGGUAGCCGCGUCCCACUGACAAUUUACGCACCAUCCUGCUGGAGGACAGGGUCUCCCAGCACUCUGACCAAUUGCAUCUACCACUGGGUGAGCAAAACCCAAUCCAGAAUACGAGUUCCUGUCAAGGCCCAUUUGUAGCCCCUCGGGGUUACCGGUUCCACUCUGACUUGCCAGCUACGGUCAAGGCUUUCCUACAGGGGACCGGCCUCCUAGCUCUCUGUAGAGUUUGGUUGGCAGCCAGAACAGUUCUUUUUGGUAUUUUGGGCCACAGAGGAUGCAAGUGGACUCUAGAGUUCCAGGCCUUCUCUGCAUUGCCACAGCCCCCACUGUCCCCUUAUUUCACUGACCUACGUGGUUACCUCGAGAGAGGACGACACCAGGAUACCCACUCAUCCAUUUCAAUCGACUUCCAAACUCAGAAGGUGGUUCUUGUGAUGAGCAUCAACAUGUCCUCCUUUAAUGCACCCCUCAAAUUCCUGUAGUGUUCGAGGGUCCAGCCCCCAUGUGGUUAUCCCUUUAAUAGACCUUGUUUCCGUUGUCCUGCUGCCUGACCAUGUGGCCUGGCUGUUGGCCACUGCCCAUGAGUUGGUAAAUUCCAAACACAGGAGUUUUUCUCAUUGUUCCAUUUUUUUCCCUACUGUGAAUCAACAUAAACAUUAAAACUACCCUAUGACUGAAGUAAAAAAUAAUCCUGAGACUGACAGCCAUGUAAUCUUGGAUAAUGUUGGAAAAACACUCUA
Zalophus californianus (California sea lion) is the source of this 1562-nucleotide RNA transcript. It is a transcript of the gene named putative HLA class I histocompatibility antigen, alpha chain H, with no coding region annotated. The record is from RefSeq and is a predicted model, not a curated record. The transcript is spliced from 7 exons. NCBI's taxonomy places the organism in Eukaryota, Metazoa, Chordata, Mammalia, Carnivora, Otariidae.